Equus quagga is the source of this 247-nucleotide long non-coding RNA. RefSeq lists it as uncharacterized. The record is from RefSeq and is a predicted model, not a curated record. The transcript has 3 exons. NCBI's taxonomy places the organism in Eukaryota, Metazoa, Chordata, Mammalia, Perissodactyla, Equidae.
CAUUCAGGAGGCAUCUCCCUGGAGACUGAGUAGAUGGUAGGAGUCCCCUGGGGUGCUGUCAGCUCCACUCGAUGAACCUCUGGAGAAAGGCCAAAAUACUAGAUGGAUCCCUGUGGAAUGACGGUUGUCAUUACAGGCAGGCUCGGUUUGCCGGUUGCUGCUGAGUGCUGCCUUUCCUGCUUACAGACUGUCAGAAAAGGAAACAGGGAAACAGCCUCCAGACAACAGCUACUCAAUUCUCAGUUCG